GUGUAUAUAGCUCAGUGGUAGAGCGCGUGCUUAGUGGGCACGAGGCCCUGGGUUCAAUCCCUAGUACCUCCA
This 72-nucleotide transfer RNA is filed under the name Otolemur garnettii (small-eared galago). It matches the Rfam family "tRNA". From Rfam's summary of the family: Transfer RNA (tRNA) molecules are approximately 80 nucleotides in length. Their secondary structure includes four short double-helical elements and three loops (D, anti-codon, and T loops). Lineage: Eukaryota; Metazoa; Chordata; Mammalia; Primates; Galagidae. The record is from Rfam by way of RNAcentral.